GGUAUAGCUCAAAUGGUAGAGCGCACGCUUAGCAUGCAUGAGGUCCUGGGUUCAAUCCCCAGUACC
This 66-nucleotide transfer RNA is filed under the name Camelus bactrianus (Bactrian camel). It matches the Rfam family "tRNA". Rfam says of the family: Transfer RNA (tRNA) molecules are approximately 80 nucleotides in length. Lineage: Eukaryota; Metazoa; Chordata; Mammalia; Artiodactyla; Camelidae. The record is from Rfam by way of RNAcentral. RNAcentral also lists the same sequence under 3 other names.